AUUGAACGCUGGCGGCAGGCCUAACACAUGCAAGUCGAGCGGAUGAAGGGAGCUUGCUCCUGGAUUCAGCGGCGGACGGGUGAGUAAUGCCUAGGAAUCUGCCUGGUAGUGGGGGAUAACGUCCGGAAACGGGCGCUAAUACCGCAUACGUCCUGAGGGAGAAAGUGGGGGAUCUUCGGACCUCACGCUAUCAGAUGAGCCUAGGUCGGAUUAGCUAGUUGGUGGGGUAAAGGCCUACCAAGGCGACGAUCCGUAACUGGUCUGAGAGGAUGAUCAGUCACACUGGAACUGAGACACGGUCCAGACUCCUACGGGAGGCAGCAGUGGGGAAUAUUGGACCAUGGGCGAAAGCCUGAUCCAGCCAUGCCGCGUGUGUGAAGAAGGUCUUCUGAUUGUAAAGCACUUUAAGUUGGGAGGAAGGGCAGUAAGUUAAUACCUUGCUGUUUUGACGUUACCAACAGAAUAAGCACCGGCUAACUUCGUG
RNAcentral lists this ribosomal RNA (484 nucleotides) under uncultured bacterium. RNAcentral describes it as "partial 16S ribosomal RNA". It matches the Rfam family "Bacterial small subunit ribosomal RNA", at positions 30 to 507 of the family's 1533-position model. The record is from RNAcentral.